AUAUUGCACAAUGGAGGGAACUCUGAUGCAGCAACGCCGCGUGAGUGAAGACGGCUUNNNGAUCGNAAAACUCUGUCUUUGGGNAGANCUAAAUGACGGUACCCACUGAGGAACCCCCGGCUAACUACGUGCCAGCAGCCGCGGUAAUACGUAGGGGGCGAGCGUUGUCCGGAAUUACUGGGCGUAACGGGUACGUAGGCGGCUAUAUAAGUCAGGUGUGAAAUACCAGUGCUUAACACCGGAAUUGCAUUUGAAACUGUGUAGCUUGAGUGCAGGAGAGGAAAGUGGAAUUCCUAGUGUAGCGGUGAAAUGCGUAGAGAUUAGGAGGAACACCAGUGGCGAAGGCGACUUUCUGGACUGUAACUGACGCUGAGGUACGAAAGCGUGGGUAGCGAACA
Molecule: ribosomal RNA, 398 nt
Filed under: uncultured bacterium
Lineage: Bacteria
Description: partial 16S ribosomal RNA
Rfam family: Bacterial small subunit ribosomal RNA
Source: RNAcentral